AACGAACGCUGGCGGCAGGCUUAACACAUGCAAGUCGAACGCAUCCUUCGGGAUGAGUGGCAGACGGGUGAGUAACGCGUGGGAAUUUACCCAGCUCUACGGAACAACUCAGGGAAACUUGAGCUAAUACCGUAUACGCCCUUUGGGGGAAAGAUUUAUCGGAGUUGGAUGAGCCCGCGUUUGAUUAGCUAGUUGGUGGGGUAAAGGCCUACCAAGGCGACGAUCAAUAGCUGGUCUGAGAGGAUGAUCAGCCACACUGGGACUGAGACACGGCCCAGACUCCUACGGGAGGCAGCAGUGGGGAAUAUUGGACAAUGGGCGCAAGCCUGAUCCAGCCAUGCCGCGUGGGUGAAGAAGGCCCUAGGGUUGUAAAUCCCUUUCAGCGGGGAAGAUAAUGACGGUACCCGCAGAAGAAGCCCCGGCUAACUCCGUG
Molecule: ribosomal RNA, 433 nt
Filed under: uncultured bacterium
Lineage: Bacteria
Description: bacterial SSU rRNA
Rfam family: Bacterial small subunit ribosomal RNA
Source: RNAcentral